GCAGCCGCGGUAAUACGUAGGGAGCGAGCGUUAUCCGGAUUUAUUGGGUGUAAAGGGUGCGUAGACGGGAAAAUAAGUUAGUUGUGAAAUCCCUCGGCUUAACUGAGGAACUGCAACUAAAACUGUUUUUCUUGAGUACUGGAGAGGAAAGUGGAAUUCCUAGUGUAGCGGUGAAAUGCGUAGAUAUUAGGAGGAACACCAGUGGCGAAGGCGACUUUCUGGACAGAAACUGACGUUGAGGCACGAAAGUGUGGGGAGCAAACAGGAUUAGAUACCCC
RNAcentral lists this ribosomal RNA (278 nucleotides) under uncultured Oscillospiraceae bacterium. RNAcentral describes it as "partial 16S ribosomal RNA". It matches the Rfam family "Bacterial small subunit ribosomal RNA", at positions 511 to 788 of the family's 1533-position model. The record is from RNAcentral. Lineage: Bacteria; Bacillati; Bacillota; Clostridia; Eubacteriales; Oscillospiraceae.